AGAUUGAACGCUGGCGGCAGGCCUAACACAUGCAAGUCGAGCGGUAGAGAGGUGCUUGCACCUCUUGAGAGCGGCGGACGGGUGAGUAAAGCCUGGGAAUCUGCCUGGUAGUGGGGGAUAACGCUCGGAAACGGACGCUAAUACCGCAUACGUCCUACGGGAGAAAGCAGGGGACCUUCGGGCCUUGCGCUAUCAGAUGAGCCUAGGUCGGAUUAGCUAGUUGGUGAGGUAAUGGCUCACCAAGGCGACGAUCCGUAACUGGUCUGAGAGGAUGAUCAGUCACACUGGAACUGAGACACGGUCCAGACUCCUACGGGAGGCAGCAGUGGGGAAUAUUGGACAAUGGGCGAAAGCCUGAUCCAGCCAUGCCGCGUGUGUGAAGAGUCUUCGGAUUGAAAGCACUUUAAGUGGAGGAAGGCAGUUACUAAUACGUAUCUGUUUGACGUUACCGACAAGAAUAAGACACCGGUCUAACGUUCUGU
Molecule: ribosomal RNA, 482 nt
Filed under: uncultured soil bacterium
Lineage: Bacteria
Description: bacterial SSU rRNA
Rfam family: Bacterial small subunit ribosomal RNA
Source: RNAcentral